Molecule: ribosomal RNA, 255 nt
Filed under: uncultured bacterium
Lineage: Bacteria
Description: partial 16S ribosomal RNA
Rfam family: Bacterial small subunit ribosomal RNA
Source: RNAcentral
UACAGAGGUCGUCAAGCGUUGUUCGGAUUCAUUGGGCGUAAAGGGUGCGUAGGCGGCGCGGUAAGUCGGGUGUGAAAGUCUCGGAGCUUAACUCCGAACUGCAUUCGAUACUGCCGUGCUUGAGGACUGGAGAGGAGACUGGAAUUUACGGUGUAGCGGUGAAAUGCGUAGAUAUCGUAAGGAAGACCAGUGGCGAAGGCGGGUCUCGUGGACAGUUCCUGACGCUGAGGCACGAAGGUCAGGGGAGCAAACGGG